UGCAAGCCGAGCGGUAGAGAUUCUUCGGAAUCUUGAGAGCGGCGCACGGGUGCGGAACACGUGUGCAACCUGCCUUUAUCUGGGGGAUAGCCUUUCGAAAGGAAGAUUAAUACCCCAUAAUAUAUUGAGUGGCAUCACUUGAUAUUGAAAACUCCGGUGGAUAGAGAUGGGCACGCGCAAGAUUAGAUAGUUGGUGAGGUAACGGCUCACCAAGUCAAUGAUCUUUAGGGGGCCUGAGAGGGUGAUCCCCCACACUGGUACUGAGACACGGACCAGACUCCUACGGGAGGCAGCAGUGAGGAAUAUUGGACAAUGGGUGAGAGCCUGAUCCAGCCAUCCCGCGUGAAGGACGACUGCCCUAUGGGUUGUAAACUUCUUUUAUACUGGGAUAAACCUACCCUCGUGAGGGUAGCUGAAGGUACAGUAUGAAUAAGCACCGGCUAACUCCGUGCCAGCAGCCGCGGUAAUACGGAGGGUGCAAGCGUUAUCCGGAUUUAUUGGGUUUAAAGGGUCCGUAGGCGGACUCGUAAGUCAGUGGUGAAAUCUCAUAGCUUAACUAUGAAACUGCCAUUGAUACUGCGGGUCUUGAGUAAAGUAGAAGUGGCUGGAAUAAGUAGUGUAGCGGUGAAAUGCAUAGAUAUUACUUAGAACACCAAUUGCGAA
This 663-nucleotide ribosomal RNA is filed under the name uncultured bacterium. Its description in RNAcentral is "bacterial SSU rRNA". It matches the Rfam family "Bacterial small subunit ribosomal RNA", at positions 56 to 719 of the family's 1533-position model. The record is from RNAcentral.